GGAUCCAGUACUUGGAGUCUUUUAUUACUGUCAAUGAUUACAGACGAACCAGCUUAUUUAGAGGACGAAAAUCAUCCUGAUCAAGUUCCAUCACAGGAAAUGGUACGCAAGCCUCAAAAAAGUGCGUAGGUAACAUGAUGUUGAAAGAACGAGGAGAUUGGAAAAGAAAGAAGUAAAUUGAGAGCUAUACAGAUAAAUCUAAAAGUAAACAUAGAGGACAAUGAUGCAUUAGAGACUGGCAUAUCAUCUCAUACGGACAACACUGCAGGAGAGUUUUUUUUAUAUUUGAACAAUUCAGCUUCGCUUCAAAGAAAGUUGGAUGCAUUGGAAAAAAAAUUUAAGCUCACCGUUUGGACUUACGGAAGAUAUUGAAAAUGCUAUAAAGUAGGGAUAUUAUA
RNAcentral lists this long non-coding RNA (398 nucleotides) under Diabrotica virgifera virgifera (western corn rootworm). Its description in RNAcentral is "uncharacterized LOC126883036". The record is from RNAcentral. Lineage: Eukaryota; Metazoa; Arthropoda; Insecta; Coleoptera; Chrysomelidae.